UUAAAAUAAUUUAAACUUUCAUCAAAAGUAAUUUUCCUAAUGAGUGCUGAUACUUUAGGCCUGACUAA
Molecule: small nucleolar RNA, 68 nt
Organism: Lepus europaeus (European hare)
Lineage: Eukaryota; Metazoa; Chordata; Mammalia; Lagomorpha; Leporidae
Product: small nucleolar RNA SNORD56
Exons: 1
Source: RefSeq, a predicted model, not a curated record